This 63-nucleotide transfer RNA is filed under the name Nereis sp. Its description in RNAcentral is "tRNA-Ala". It matches the Rfam family "tRNA". From Rfam's summary of the family: Transfer RNA (tRNA) molecules are approximately 80 nucleotides in length. Their secondary structure includes four short double-helical elements and three loops (D, anti-codon, and T loops). Further hydrogen bonds mediate the characteristic L-shaped molecular structure. tRNAs have two regions of fundamental functional importance: the anti-codon, which is responsible for specific mRNA codon recognition, and the 3' end, to which the tRNAs corresponding amino acid is attached (by aminoacyl-tRNA synthetases). tRNAs cope with the degeneracy of the genetic code in two manners: having more than one tRNA (with a specific anti-codon) for a particular amino acid; and 'wobble' base-pairing, i.e. permitting non-standard base-pairing at the 3rd anti-codon position. The record is from RNAcentral. Lineage: Eukaryota; Metazoa; Annelida; Polychaeta; Phyllodocida; Nereididae.
GGCUGUAUAGCCUAACUCAAGGCAUUUGAAUUGCAAUCAGACCAUGUGAUUUCACUACAACCA